Vicugna pacos (alpaca) is the source of this 353-nucleotide non-coding RNA. The record is from RefSeq and is a predicted model, not a curated record. Lineage: Eukaryota; Metazoa; Chordata; Mammalia; Artiodactyla; Camelidae.
AUUUCCACAUUUGCAGAAUAAAGAAAAUAACAGCUAACUAGGCGGACUCUUGUGAGAAUUAAAAAAGAGGAUGGAGGUAAGAGUGUUCCAGUUUAUUGGGUCCAUUCACAAUUUGAGCAGAUUCCUGUCAUUCAAAUCAAGCUGGCUUACAGCAGUGGACUUAUGCAAGAGGAAGGUGCAAAGUCUAUUUUUAUUAACAAAUGUACUUGCUCAGUCUCCAAAGGAAGUGGCAAAACUGCUUCUUGCAUGAAAAACAGGAUUAACUAAAUGAAGAACUACAGCUAAUCUCUGAGCUUGCCCUGAUUGUUCUGGAGUGCUCUUCUCAAAAAUAAAAUUGGAAGGUCUUGGCUUCA